Long non-coding RNA from Sebastes umbrosus (honeycomb rockfish), 713 nucleotides. RefSeq lists it as uncharacterized. Lineage: Eukaryota; Metazoa; Chordata; Actinopteri; Perciformes; Sebastidae. The record is from RefSeq and is a predicted model, not a curated record. The transcript has 3 exons.
GCUGGCAACACACUUCAGCCUCAAGAAAAAACAACUCGGCCUUCACGCAGCAGCGUUUGAAGCUGACCCUGAACACGGAGAACACAAGGAGAAUGAGACAGCAAUAUCUGCUGCAUGUGACUUAAGUAGACUACAGAGUGGAGGCACACUCGGGCACACCCGAAUCAACACAUAUUUUAACAGAGACAAAGGGAGGAAGGGAGUUUGAAAGACAUGGGUGUUUAAAAGUGAGGUGGGGGCAUUAAGGGAGAUUUGGAGACUAAAAGUCAGAAUUGGCCUAUCUUGGCUUCUGCUGCAUCACGUUUGACCAUUGUUUUCUAAAUCUGUGUCUUGUGUGUCACCAAACUUUAUGGAAGUGCGAUACUAAAUCUCUCUUUCAAAAGUGGAUUCUUUUCAUUCUUAUAACAUAGUGGGAUAUAUACUGUACUAUUUGAUUUGGUUUCCUUCAGCUGUUUCUUCUGUGGAUCAGUCCUCCAACUGUUCCUGUGCAGUGUGUCACGUAACAAACCAAAUGCCUAUUUUCUACUUUCUGUUUCAGGAUUAUUCAGCUUGCCUCUUGCAACUCUGCCAAGUUCUCCAAGUCUAUAUUUUCCACAGACCGAGAAACAAUGCUUUUUUUUUUCCUCUUCUAAACAUGGCUUUUAGGAGAAGAAAUCCAGCUCAGUGAGGCUGGCAGUGGACUACUGAAUAACAAAAUGUAGAAAAUAGGCAUU